CAAGACUUUGAUGAAAUUAAGUUGAUAUUUUGAGAGUUUAUAGAUUUUCAAGUAUAAUUCAUGUUGAAUAAAAUAGUGAAUUAAGGGUUUAAUUGAGUAAAUUUCAAGCUAGAAUUGAUAAUAGGAUCAAAUUGUAAAGUAAGUUAUAAGUUUUAUGUUGUAGGGACUAAAUUGAUGAAAUUUUGAAAUUAGGAAAGUAUGCUGGAAAUUUAAUAUUUAAAUGUGAGUAUGGAUGAAAUUUGAAUAGAAAUAAGGUAUGAAUUAAGAUAGAAAGUAAGUGAAUUUAGUUAGAAUUAAAUUGAAAUUAAAGUAAAUCAACAUUUUGUACUAAGACUAUUUUG
This 341-nucleotide long non-coding RNA is filed under the name Gossypium barbadense (sea-island cotton). RNAcentral describes it as "long non-coding RNA (GBAR_LNC004806)". Lineage: Eukaryota; Viridiplantae; Streptophyta; Magnoliopsida; Malvales; Malvaceae. The record is from RNAcentral.